Molecule: small RNA, 119 nt
Filed under: Marmota monax (woodchuck)
Lineage: Eukaryota; Metazoa; Chordata; Mammalia; Rodentia; Sciuridae
Source: RNAcentral
GCUGGGUGCAGUGGUGCACACCUGUAAUCCCAGCAGCUUGGGAGUCUGAGGCAGGAGGAUCUGGAGUUCAAAGCCAGCCUCAGCAAUGUGCUAAACAACUCAUUGAGACCCUGUCUCUA